GCUUCCGUGGCUCAGUUGGUAGAGCGAUUGAUUCGUAAUCAAUAGACCGUGGGUUCGAGUCCCAUCGGAAGCU
Molecule: transfer RNA, 73 nt
Filed under: Candidatus Galacturonatibacter soehngenii
Lineage: Bacteria; Bacillati; Bacillota; Clostridia; Lachnospirales; Lachnospiraceae
Description: Candidatus Galacturonibacter soehngenii tRNA
Rfam family: tRNA
About the family: Transfer RNA (tRNA) molecules are approximately 80 nucleotides in length. Their secondary structure includes four short double-helical elements and three loops (D, anti-codon, and T loops).
Source: Rfam by way of RNAcentral